RNAcentral lists this ribosomal RNA (468 nucleotides) under uncultured bacterium. RNAcentral's name for it is "partial 16S ribosomal RNA". It matches the Rfam family "Bacterial small subunit ribosomal RNA", at positions 28 to 507 of the family's 1533-position model. The record is from RNAcentral.
GACGAACGCUGGCGGCGUGCUUAACACAUGCAAGUCGAACGGAAAGGCCCUGCUUUUGUGGGGUGCUCGAGUGGCGAAAGGGUGAGUAACACGUGAGUAACCUGCCCUUGACUUUGGGAUAACUUCAGGAAACUGGGGCUAAUACCGGAUAGGAGCUCCUGCUGCAUGGGGGGGGUUGGAAAGUUUCGGCGGUUGGGGAUGGACUCGCGGCUUAUCAGCUUGUUGGUGGGGUAGUGGCCUACCAAGGCUUUGGCGGGUAGCCGGCCUGAGAGGGUGACCGGGCACAUUAGGACUGAGAUACGCCCCAGACUCCUACGGUAGGCAGCAGUGGGAAGUAUUGCCCAGUGAUCGGAAGCCUGAUGCAGCAACGCCGCGUGCGGGAUGACGGCCUUCGGGUUGUGAACCGCUUUCGCCUGUGACGAAGCGUGAGUGACGGUAAUGGAUAAAGAAGCACCGGCUAACUACGUG